AACCAGCACCUCAAGUGGUCAGGAUGAUUAUUGGGCCUAAAGCAUCCGUAGCCGGCUCUGUAAGUUUUUGGUUAAAUCUGUACGCUCAACGUAUGGGCUGCCGAAAAUACUGUAGAGAUAGGGAGUGGGAGAGGUAGACGGUACUCGGUAGGAAGGGGUAAAAUCCUUUGGUCUAUUGAUGACCACCUGUGGCGAAGGCAGCUUUCUGGACCAAUACUGACGCUGAGGUACGAAAGCGUGGGUAGCAAACAGG
RNAcentral lists this ribosomal RNA (253 nucleotides) under uncultured archaeon. Its description in RNAcentral is "partial 16S ribosomal RNA". It matches the Rfam family "Archaeal small subunit ribosomal RNA", at positions 474 to 727 of the family's 1478-position model. The record is from RNAcentral.